RNAcentral lists this transfer RNA (68 nucleotides) under Cymus sp. RNAcentral describes it as "tRNA-Phe". The record is from RNAcentral. Lineage: Eukaryota; Metazoa; Arthropoda; Insecta; Hemiptera; Cymidae.
ACUUAAAUAGCUUAAAUUUUAAAGUUUGAUAUUGAAGAUAUCAUGAUGAGUAUUUUACUCUUUGAGUA